RNAcentral lists this long non-coding RNA (371 nucleotides) under Bos indicus x Bos taurus (hybrid cattle). Its description in RNAcentral is "lncRNA (ENSBIXG00005010738.1)". Lineage: Eukaryota; Metazoa; Chordata; Mammalia; Artiodactyla; Bovidae. The record is from RNAcentral.
ACAUCCCAAAAGGUAUACUGCAAUAUUAAAGUUCAUUUAUAUACACGAUAAAGUUUCCCCUGUGUGUCCUGCAGGCUGGGAAGUGUCCAUGGGUUGAUCCCUUUGUGAAUUACAUGGAGCUGACCGGGCUGAAACCCUCAGUGACCCAGAUGAGGAUUGAAGCUUGUGCUGAAAGAGUGGCUGCCCCCCCAAACAUGACAAGGCCUGAGAUGUCAUAAGGACUCUAUAUGCCUCAGCAGUUUGGACUACACCACCAGAGUGCACAGCCAUUCCACAUUCAUUUCUCUUGCAUCUCCAGCACCAUGAAACUGAUAAACCCCAGCUGCUGGUCACUGCACACCCACCCUCCUGUGAGUCGGAGUUUGCAGAGC